AUAAUUACAUAACUGUGUCAAAGUUAAUUUAUAGGUUAGAGUCCUUUAUAUCUUA
This 55-nucleotide transfer RNA is filed under the name Callosciurus caniceps concolor. Its description in RNAcentral is "partial tRNA-Asp". The record is from RNAcentral. Lineage: Eukaryota; Metazoa; Chordata; Mammalia; Rodentia; Sciuridae.